RNAcentral lists this ribosomal RNA (253 nucleotides) under uncultured bacterium. Its description in RNAcentral is "partial 16S ribosomal RNA". It matches the Rfam family "Bacterial small subunit ribosomal RNA", at positions 524 to 776 of the family's 1533-position model. The record is from RNAcentral.
UACGUAGGGGGCGAGCGUUGUCCGGAAUUAUUGGGCGUAAAGAGCGCGUAGGCGGUCCGGUAAGUCCGCUCUGAAAGUCCGGGGCUCAACCCCGGGAGGCGGGCGGAUACUGUCGGGCUAGAGUCCGGAAGAGGCGAGUGGAAUUCCUGGUGUAGCGGUGAAAUGCGCAGAUAUCAGGAGGAACACCGGUGGCGAAGGCGGAUCUCUGGGCCAUUACUGACGCUGAGGAGCGAAAGCGUGGGGAGCGAACAGG